This 432-nucleotide ribosomal RNA is filed under the name uncultured bacterium. RNAcentral describes it as "partial 16S ribosomal RNA". It matches the Rfam family "Bacterial small subunit ribosomal RNA", at positions 29 to 506 of the family's 1533-position model. The record is from RNAcentral.
AACGAACGCUGGCGGCAUGCCUAGCACAUGCAAGUCGAACGAGACCUUCGUGUCUAGUGGCGCACGGGUGCGUAACGCGUGGGAACCUGCCCUUAGGUUCGGAAUAACUCCCCGAAAGGGGUGCUAAUACCGGAUAAUGUCUUCGGACCAAAGAUUUAUCGCCUUUGGAUGGGCCCGCGUUUGAUUAGCUAGUUGGUAGGGUAAAAGCCUACCAAGGCGACGGUCCAUAGCUGGUCUGAGAGGAUGAUCAGCCACACUGGGACUGGGACACGGCCCAGACUCCUGCGGGAGGGAGCAGUGGGGAAUAUUGGACAAUGGGCGAAAGCCUGAUCCAGCAAUGCCGCGUGAGUGAUGAAGGCCUUAGAGUUGUAAAGCUCUUUUACCCGGGAUGAUAAUGACAGAACCGGGAGAAUAAGCUCCGGCUAACUCCGU